UACACUUAUUUAGUUUCAGAGUCCUAUGGAG
This 31-nucleotide non-coding RNA is filed under the name Mus musculus (house mouse). The record is from RNAcentral. Lineage: Eukaryota; Metazoa; Chordata; Mammalia; Rodentia; Muridae.